Molecule: ribosomal RNA, 435 nt
Filed under: uncultured Comamonadaceae bacterium
Lineage: Bacteria; Pseudomonadati; Pseudomonadota; Betaproteobacteria; Burkholderiales; Comamonadaceae
Description: partial 16S ribosomal RNA
Rfam family: Bacterial small subunit ribosomal RNA
Source: RNAcentral
CCUACGGGAGGCAGCAGUGGGGAAUUUUGGACAAUGGGCGCAAGCCUGAUCCAGCCAUGCCGCGUGCGGGAAGAAGGCCUUCGGGUUGUAAACCGCUUUUGUCAGGGAAGAAAAGGUUCUGGCUAAUACCUGGGACUCAUGACGGUACCUGAAGAAUAAGCACCGGCUAACUACGUGCCAGCAGCCGCGGUAAUACGUAGGGUGCAAGCGUUAAUCGGAAUUACUGGGCGUAAAGCGUGCGCAGGCGGUUAUGCAAGACAGAGGUAAAAUCCCCGGGCUCAACCUGGGAACUGCCUUUGUGACUGCAUGGCUAGAGUACGGUAGAGGGGAAUGGAAUUCCGCGUGUAGCAGUGAAAUGCGUAGAUAUGCGGAGGAACACCGAUGGCGAAGGCAAUCCCCGGGACAUGUACUGACGCUCAUGCACGAAAGCGUGGG